CUUAUUUUUCUCCGCAAUACUUGCUACCAUGGAACACACUCCAUCUGUUUCUUACCUACCCUCUCUCCCCAACAGAAGGAAUGCUCCAUGAGGACAGGGCUCUUCCUUUGCCUCAUUUCCUGCUGUGUCCCAGCACCUAGAACAGUGCCUGGCACAUACUUCAAGUGGUACCACUUCUGUUUGUGCGUCUGGCUGCCCUCCACCUGCUAGCACCUUCCUGUCUCUCCUGGGGAGCUUUCUCCACUGUCUUUGAAGGAUGUUCCAGCUGGAAGUGCUCAGAAUUAACACCCACUGAGAGCAGCCUCAGCCAAUAAUACUGGGGUAUAAAUACUCCUGCUCCCUGGCCCUUCAAAUGCGAUAUCUCUGAGGCAUGUACAUGUGCCACACCAUUUCCCAGAGCUGCUCUGUGGGAUUGAGCUCCCUCGCCCUCGCCGUCUUCAUUCCCUGCUCCUCACUGCUGUUUGCUGCACCUCCCAAGGGCGUUGCUUCCUUUGCUAUCCUUGUCUCAGGGUCGGCUUCUGGGUGAACACAAAUUAGCACCAUGCUCACAAGUAUAUUUGAGAACUGCUGUAUGAGUAAUUAUACAUGUCAAACAGAUUUCUAAAAACACUUACCAAGGUGAUAUACUUGUCACCUCUGAAAGGUGAGAUGUCAGAUGCUUUGUAACUGCAUCUGUCUAUGUUGAUAUUUCUACAAUUAGCGAGAGUCAUUUCUACAACAAUAAUAAAGCUGCUUCUCACAGCCUCCCCCACACACCUGUAACCGGAGUCACGAGUGAACCAAGAAUGAGAUGGGCCUCUCUCCUCCACAGCAACAUAGGAACUCGGAGAAGAUGAGGGGAGCUUUGGGAAAGCUCUGGGGCUACGGUUGGGUCACUGCUUGUAGCGAAGAGCCACCAAAGGGCUCCCCUGAGAGGAGAGAAGCUGAGCGAACACUCGAGCUCUCUGGUGCACAGAUUUUCAGGAGGUGUGAACGCUGCAUGUGGUUCAUGUGGCAAGAAGACAAGUCGUGCUGCUCUCUGGUCAAGGAUUUGUUUGGAGAACCAUGACCAUCCCCAUCUGGUGACUUUAAAGUACUUGCCUUAAGAGAUGUGAAAACAUAUGUCCACACAAAAACUUGCACAUGAAUGUUCCCAGCAGUAUUAUUCCUAAUAUCCAAAAAAGUGGAAACAACCCAAAUGUCCAUCAACUGAUGAAUGGAUAAACAGAAAUGUAUUUAUGCAGUGGAAUGUUAUUUAGCCAUAAAAAGGAAUGAAGCACUGAUGCAUGCUGCAACAUGGAUGAACCCUGAGAACAGUAUGCUAAGUGAAAGAAGCCGGACACAAGAGGCCACAUAGUGAAGCCAGCCUUGCCUCAGGGAGGUUUGGUUUGGGGGCUGAAUGCAGAAGUUGUGCAGAGAAGCUGGCUUAUGUUUUCUGGAAGCCUGGAGCCUGGGAGGGCUUGGAGAUUAGUGGACUCCAGGCACUGCAGACCGGAAGGUGCUCCCUACGGUGCCUGAGGCAGGUGGCACAAUGGCAGGACUUCUAUGGCGAGGUUUCGUCGUGUCUCAGAGGCUUAGGGCCUCGGCCUAGGAUUCCCAGCUUCAGCCAAGAUUCCCAAGCUUGGAACGGAAGCUGCCACAAGCCUGCCUCUCUACAGGGACCCACUGGGGAUAUCAGCAGAAGACUUGGUCUCAGGAGAAGAGAGGACCCAUCCUCAUUUUCCAGGCCCACGUAACCUCCUGGAUUUUCACAUGUCCCCAGGGAAGGGGACAGCCUGCCCCACCCCACUACCACCCAUAUUUUCCUGCCAGCCCAGAGGAUGAGGUCUCCAGGCCCGAGGUAACUUGAAAUCAAGGAAGAAAAGGAAUAUGACAAGUGUUACCCACCUGAGUUUAGAGUAAGAGUCAUAUUGCACGACAAUUAGAUAAAUUCAAGGUGAAUCUUAGAACAAGGUCACGUUGCCUCUCCAGUGGUCCCUUGAGUGGGAGAGAAAGGCAUGACGUCACAGUACAGUUCCAGGGGAAUUGCUUGUGACCCUCCCAAAGGAGCAUGCUCCCUCCGAAACCACCUGUCCUGCAUCACUGCGGAAACGAUUGGAAGUCAGCACUUCAGAGUGUGGGUGAGAGAAAGGUGACGAGAGUUUGUCACGUUUCCUCAGUGGGGUCCACCUUAUCAUGAACCGAAAAUAUCACUCUCUCCUGCAUCCAUCGGACAUGCUGACCAGCCAGAGGUGACCUGUGAACACAGGCAAGUGAGCGAAUAGAAUCUAACCUAGGAGAGGGUCCCAAACCACCUGAGCAGUGAGCCUUCUCGCAACAUGAAGAAACAUGAAAAGGCCCGACCCAUUCCAGCAGCCAGCCCCGCCCCGCCCAGCCCAGCCCAGCGCCUGGGGAAGAGUCAGCAAGCUGCCUGUGCCUGUGGUUUCUGUCCCGUCCCGGCUUGCCUUGACCUGGUGCAGGGCAAGAAAUGGAACGCCGGCUCCUGGGAAUGACAGCUGGCUUGGGAAUGCUGGUGUCAGCGCUCUGUCGGGGGCCGGGCCGUCUGCACACGCAGACACCUCGUUAGGGCAAGCCCGAGAACGGCCGGGGAGCUGCUGUCUCUGUCCAUCUGUUGUAGACCCGGGUAACCAGGAGAAAUGGGAGGUGGGCAGCUUCUGAACCUAUAGCCAGCUGAGUUCUGGUUCUCUUUCCACAGGGCUGCACACUUAGCCAGACUUAACUGUUCCCAUGUGUCUCCUCAGAGGUUGCCCACAUCACAGUUCACCUCAAAGUCUGUGACAGACCCAGCAGUAAGCAGAGUGGGGCUUAAUAAAUGUUUCAGUGGAGAGGCAGUGUACUUAUUGAGUGCCAACUGUGUGCAAGGUAUCCUGCCAGCUAUAAAGGGGAACGUGUUCAGGGAACUUUCAGUCAAGUGGGUCGUAAGCACAUGCCUACAUGAUUUAGAACCCGUGGAUGCAAACAUGUCUUGUUUGACCCUCGGAGUUUUAAAAUCUUAUACCAACUUAAAAAAAAUUGGCUACCAUCUGUAUAAAAAAGAGGUUUUGUGUGUGUGUGUGUGUGUGUGUGUGUGUGUGUGUGAGAAUGUCUGAAGGGCUCCAGAAGAAGCUGGUGACCAGGGUGGCCUCUUCAGAGAGGGAAUUGGGGGCCAGGAGUGGGUGGG
Molecule: long non-coding RNA, 3139 nt
Organism: Equus asinus (donkey)
Lineage: Eukaryota; Metazoa; Chordata; Mammalia; Perissodactyla; Equidae
Source: Ensembl